CAGCCGCCGCGGUAAUACCGGCGGCCCGAGUGGCGGUCACUAUUAUUGGGCUUAAAGCGUCCGUAGCCGGGUUGGGAAGUCCUCCGGGAAAUCUGGCCGCUUAACGGUCAGAAUGCCGGAGGAUACUCCCAGCCUAGGGAGCGGGCGAGGCUGAGGGGAUUCCCGGAGUAGGGGGGAAAUCCUAUAAUCCCGGGAGGACCACCUGUGGCGAAGGCGCUCGGCUGGAACGGGUCCGACGGUGAGGGACGAAGGCCAGGGGAGCAAACCGGAUUAGAUACCCGGGUAGUCCUGGCUGUAAACGAUGCGGACUUUGUGUCGGACAAGCUAUGAGCUUGUCCGGUGCCGGAGGGAAACCGUUAAGUCCGCCGCCUGGGGAGUACGGCCGCAAGGCUGAAACUUAAAGGAAUUGGCGGG
RNAcentral lists this ribosomal RNA (414 nucleotides) under uncultured microorganism. RNAcentral describes it as "bacterial SSU rRNA". It matches the Rfam family "Archaeal small subunit ribosomal RNA", at positions 459 to 872 of the family's 1478-position model. The record is from RNAcentral.